UGUUAUAUGGUAACGAAUGAGCAGAUUAAGUAGGCUGGCUUUUGUGAUGUCAUGCCGGAUUGACUGGAAAUGGUUAGUCCGUGCUCAGAUUUGUUUGGAGCAACACAUACAUUUUUUCGAAAUUAAAGCCUAAAUAGUAGAAAAAAAGUCUCUGUCUCUGUUCCUCAAUCCGGAAUAAGAAUCGUCGAAACGCAAUAAUAUAUUUGUGAAUCAUUAAAUAUGCAAAUCGUCAUUCUACAAAGGCACAUUAGCUAUAUAAUAAUAUUGGUAAUGCUCGAAUUAUUAAAGCAAAUACUGUCGAUGAAACGAGAUUUAUCAAACAUUUACGUUCAGAAGCUAGAUGACGCCCGUAAAACUAAAGAAGAACUAGAAGUAGUCAGGAAAUCAUCAUAACCAUACCAGUAUAUAUGUAUGUACAUAUGUACAUAUUUAUGCAUGUAUAUUAUUCAAGUAACAAUCCAGAUACUCACGAGUAAUUAUAAUUACUAAAAAUAAUCCAAAAAGUGUACCCCAAACAUCCCCCACCCGCACAGUCUAAGAAGGAAAAGGAUAUUUUAGGUAAAAAAAAUGUGUGGCCUUAAUGUGAUACUGCCCGAAGACGUCGCCAAAAUAGCUAAAGGCGCGUAAUUGACUGAUUGACUUCAUUUUAACGAGAUUAAACAGCAAGUUCUCGAAACUGACGUCUAGACCGUGAGGAAAAUCCCUUUGGUUCCCAACCGAGUCAGUGCAACUGGGAAGCUUUUUAAAAGUUGCAGUUCUCCGGAAAUUACGCAUUUUAGAUUUAAAGCAAAUUUAAUUUCAUUUGAACGCGCAAUUAAAUGAAAAGUGGAGGUCAGCGACAGGGGCAACGACAGGCGACGGAGAACCUGAAGUCUAAAACGUUUAAGCUACUUAGAGUCACUUUGCUUUCCAGUGGCAUUAAACACAAAUAAAUAGUUACAAAGUGCAGUCGUGUAGAUGAAGAUGCGGUCACCGUCGAGACACCGUCAGACAUAGCAGACCCAAACUCCUCAGAGUAAAGCCACCGGCAAAGAGACUGGAAAUUGCAGCAGUGUUCACACCUUGCGGCACGUAGUCGCUGCCUUAGCGCCACUUCAUUUGACCUGUCACUUUAAACGCCUUUAAAUAUGCGAUGGAGUAACAGUAAAGUUGACUAGCUUGCACCACUUUAUGGCUCGCUUUCCAUUAUAUGUCGCGGUUGUUAGCAAUGAUGUUUUUCCUUUGCGCCUGCUUAACUUUAAAGAAACCGCCUGAGACACUAUUGUCUAAUUACCCCAGGACCAACACAGCGGCGCAGGCAGGCAACCGGCAACCGUCGUCUAUAAAGAGGUAAAAUACGACAUCAUAGCAGAGGUUGACGUUGCCGUAGCCGUAGCCGAGUUCCGUUCCCUGCCUCUGUCGCUAUGCCGCCGUUAUCGUGGAAGGGCGCAAACUGGUUUAUAAUUAAAGCGUAUUUGAUUUCUUUUACAGUAUUUUUACACAAAACAAAAUAUAAAAAAGAUGCGAAAAAUACAAAAAAAAAAAACAGAAGGCAAUUGUAAAGUUGCAAUCAGCUGUCUUCCGUCACAAACGGGCUGGAUUCAGGCACGGGCGCGGGCGCUGCCUCGAAAAGCACUCAAAGUUUAUUUAAUUAUCUUUGUCAUUGGCAUUUGCAUUUGCAUUUGGAAAUGGGUGCUGCCAGCUUUAAAAAAUAUUUGCCGAACGCAGGAUACACGGAUACGAAUACGAGUACGAACUUGCAAGUCCAUAAGAUAGGGACAGCGCCAACGCUGAGUGGUGAGAGGGAGACAGUGACAGUGACCCAUGGCAGUAGCAGUAGACGACUGAGUGCCGAUGAAAUUAUGAGUCUGGGGCUCGGAGUGGGGCUGGCGGCCGGAUUUAAUUAAUCAAGAACGAGCACUAAGCAUUUUUCAUCAGCUUUGUAAUUACAAUUAGAAUGAAGAAGAUCAACAAAAAAUAAGCACAUAAUAAGAAAAAGAAUAAAUUGUGAUAUAAAAAAGUAUGGGAUUGGAUGGGAUGGAAUGCAAUAGAUGAAAACAAAAAAACGGCUUUACGAUUUUGUGUUCACUACGAUGAUUCCUUACUUGUCCUUUUUUUUACGACUUGAACAUAUGUACAUACACACAUACUAUACAUACAUAUGUCAA
This 2147-nucleotide unclassified non-coding RNA is filed under the name Drosophila pseudoobscura pseudoobscura. RNAcentral's name for it is "GA31438". The record is from RNAcentral. Lineage: Eukaryota; Metazoa; Arthropoda; Insecta; Diptera; Drosophilidae.